This 554-nucleotide ribosomal RNA is filed under the name Escherichia coli. RNAcentral describes it as "partial 16S ribosomal RNA". It matches the Rfam family "Bacterial small subunit ribosomal RNA", at positions 1 to 544 of the family's 1533-position model. RNAcentral also lists the same sequence under 1 other name. The record is from RNAcentral. Lineage: Bacteria; Pseudomonadati; Pseudomonadota; Gammaproteobacteria; Enterobacterales; Enterobacteriaceae.
AAAUUGAAGAGUUUGAUCAUGGCUCAGAUUGAACGCUGGCGGCAGGCCUAACACAUGCAAGUCGAACGGUAACAGGAAGCAGCUUGCUGCUUCGCUGACGAGUGGCGGACGGGUGAGUAAUGUCUGGGAAACUGCCUGAUGGAGGGGGAUAACUACUGGAAACGGUAGCUAAUACCGCAUAAUGUCGCAAGACCAAAGAGGGGGACCUUCGGGCCUCUUGCCAUCGGAUGUGCCCAGAUGGGAUUAGCUUGUUGGUGGGGUAACGGCUCACCAAGGCGACGAUCCCUAGCUGGUCUGAGAGGAUGACCAGCCACACUGGAACUGAGACACGGUCCAGACUCCUACGGGAGGCAGCAGUGGGGAAUAUUGCACAAUGGGCGCAAGCCUGAUGCAGCCAUGCCGCGUGUAUGAAGAAGGCCUUCGGGUUGUAAAGUACUUUCAGCGGGGAGGAAGGGAGUAAAGUUAAUACCUUUGCUCAUUGACGUUACCCGCAGAAGAAGCACCGGCUAACUCCGUGCCAGCAGCCGCGGUAAUACGGAGGGUGCAAGCGUUAA